Molecule: small nucleolar RNA, 133 nt
Organism: Alosa alosa (allis shad)
Lineage: Eukaryota; Metazoa; Chordata; Actinopteri; Clupeiformes; Clupeidae
Product: small nucleolar RNA SNORA57
Exons: 1
Source: RefSeq, a predicted model, not a curated record
CCUCCAUCUACUGACAUGUGGGGUUGCUCAGUGUCCACCAGUGUCGUCUGCGGAGGUAGAGCAGAGCCAAGACUGCCUUCAGCGCCAGUGUGUUCGGUGUCUGCUGAUGCUAUUCUCAAAUCUUGGUACACAG